GCGCGCCUAACACAUGCAAGUCGAACGAGCGAGAGAGAGCUUGCUUUCUCAAGCGAGUGGCGAACGGGUGAGUAACGCGUGAGGAACCUGCCUCAAAGAGGGGGACAACAGUUGGAAACGACUGCUAAUACCGCAUAAGCCCACGACCCGGCAUCGGGUUGAGGGAAAAGGAGCAAUCCGCUUUGAGAUGGCCUCGCGUCCGAUUAGCUGGUUGGUGAGGUAACGGCCCACCAAGGCGACGAUCGGUAGCCGGACUGAGAGGUUGAACGGCCACAUUGGGACUGAGACACGGCCCAGACUCCUACGGGAGGCAGCAGUGGGGAAUAUUGCACAAUGGGGGAAACCCUGAUGCAGCGACGCCGCGUGGAGGAAGAAGGUCUUCGGAUUGUAAACUCCUGUUGUUGAGGAAGAUAAUGACGGUACUCAACAAGGAAGUGACGGCUAACUACGUGCCAGCAGCCGCGGUAAAACGUAGGUCACAAGCGUUGUCCGGAAUUACUGGGUGUAAAGGGAGCGCAGGCGGGAAGACAAGUUGGAAGUGAAAUCUAUGGGCUCAACCCAUAAACUGCUUUCAAAACUGUUUUUCUUGAGUAGUGCAGAGGUAGGCGGAAUUCCCGGUGUAGCGGUGGAAUGCGUAGAUAUCGGGAGGAACACCAGUGGAGAAGGCGGCCUACUGGGCACCAACUGACGCUGAGGCUCGAAAGUGGGGUAGCAAACAGG
This 720-nucleotide ribosomal RNA is filed under the name uncultured bacterium. RNAcentral's name for it is "bacterial SSU rRNA". It matches the Rfam family "Bacterial small subunit ribosomal RNA", at positions 42 to 776 of the family's 1533-position model. The record is from RNAcentral.